AUACGGAGGAUCCGAGCGUUAUCCGGAUUUAUUGGGUUUAAAGGGUGCGCAGGCGGCCAUUUAAGUCAGCGGUUAAAUCGUGGGGCUCAACCCCAUUCUGCCGUUGAUACUGGGUGGCUUGAUUGCGGUCGAGGUUGGCGGAAUUCGUUGUGUAGCGGUGAAAUGCAUAGAUAUGACGAAGAACACCGAUUGCGUAGGCAGCUGACCAGAUCGCAAAUGACGCUCAUGCACGAAAGUGCGGGGAUCGAACAGGAUUAGAUACCCUGGUAAUCCGCACAGUAAACGAUGAAUACUUGUUUUCGGCGAUAUAAUGUCGGAGGCAAAGCGAAAGCGAUAAGUAUUCCACCUGGGGAGUACGCCGGCAACGGUGAAACUCAAAGGAAUUGACGGGG
RNAcentral lists this ribosomal RNA (392 nucleotides) under uncultured bacterium. RNAcentral describes it as "partial 16S ribosomal RNA". It matches the Rfam family "Bacterial small subunit ribosomal RNA", at positions 523 to 918 of the family's 1533-position model. The record is from RNAcentral.